RNAcentral lists this small nuclear RNA (21 nucleotides) under Arabidopsis thaliana (thale cress). RNAcentral describes it as "snRNA_13947". The record is from RNAcentral. Lineage: Eukaryota; Viridiplantae; Streptophyta; Magnoliopsida; Brassicales; Brassicaceae.
UGGGCUCCCCAUUCGACCCGU